UGGCCGUGGUCCAGAGAGAUGUAGGCGGCUCCGCCCACGCACGGGCACAACCCUGUGGAUGGAUGGAGACCAUCACAGAAAAUCACAACCAAUCGAAAAGCUGAGUUGUGGAGCCUGGUUCCAGCUGAUAGACUGCAACACAACCCCUGUUCCUAAGGCUCCAGGGUAACUGUGGAAGUGGGGGAGGAAAGACUAUGAGAGCCAGAGGACCAGGACGUUUGCUGUGAGGUUGUGUCUCCUAGGAAUGUCUGAAGCUACACCCUGGAAGUCUCCGAAACAUGACUGCCGAAACAUGACGUGAACAGGGAUGACAUCAGGUCAUGCUGACAUGGAUGGGGACUCAAGGGGCCUCGGCUGUACACGAAACUCUAGGCAACUAAAAAAUGCUGAGAGUGGGAGAAGCACUCUUCCCUAGGGAAGAGCACCAGUUACUCAUCCAGUACCAAAUGGUCAGCCCUGAAAAAUGGACACACAAGUAACAUUAUUCAGACUGAGAAAAUUUUAUUAAUGCAUUUAGGGAUAUAUGUUUGACAAUUAAUUUAAAAACAGGCCACAAAUUUGAAAGAGAACAAGGAAAAGUAUAUGGGAGGGAGGAGAGAAAAGGGAGAAAUCAUGUAAUUAUAAUCUCAAAAAACAAUUUUUAAAAAUGUAAACCUGGAAAUACAACCUUCCCUAUUUUGAAAAUAAGACAAGAGACAUUGAGAAGAAUUUAAUUUUUUUGCCGUUUCGAUCGAAUCUAGAACACAGAUUUCCUGCCUCUCGGCCCUGGCUGUUGUGCCCCACUGUCUUUCAAGAUUGCUUUUGGCAACAGGAAGCCACUGUGGAUUUGGAAGCCAGAAAAUGCUUUAGAAACGUCAGCAGGGAGUGGGGUUGUGGUAGUUUAUGCCUGUAAUCCCAGCACUCAGGAGGCCGAGGCAAGAAGAUUUGAAUCUGAGACUAGCCUAGGCUGUAUGGUGGGACCUUGUCUCGGAAAAAAAACAAUGUGUUGGAUUUUUUUUCCCAAUUGCCAUGACAAAUACCCAACAGAAAUAAAGGGAAAACAAUAAUUAUUUUA
This is a long non-coding RNA of Peromyscus leucopus (white-footed mouse), 1054 nucleotides long. RefSeq lists it as uncharacterized. NCBI's taxonomy places the organism in Eukaryota, Metazoa, Chordata, Mammalia, Rodentia, Cricetidae. The transcript is spliced from 2 exons. The record is from RefSeq and is a predicted model, not a curated record.